RNAcentral lists this ribosomal RNA (200 nucleotides) under uncultured bacterium. RNAcentral describes it as "partial 16S ribosomal RNA". It matches the Rfam family "Bacterial small subunit ribosomal RNA", at positions 28 to 241 of the family's 1533-position model. The record is from RNAcentral.
GAUGAACGCUAGCGGCAGGCUUAAUACAUGCAAGGCGAAGGGGCGGCAAUGUCACUGUCGUACGGGUGCGUAACGCGUAUGCAACCUACCUUAAUCUGGGGGAUAGCCUCUCGAAAGAGAGAUUAACACCGCAUAACAUUAUCGGAUAGCAUUUUCUGAUAAUCAAAUAUUUAUAGGAUUAAGAUGGGCAUGCGGAACAU